This 252-nucleotide ribosomal RNA is filed under the name uncultured bacterium. Its description in RNAcentral is "partial 16S ribosomal RNA". It matches the Rfam family "Bacterial small subunit ribosomal RNA", at positions 524 to 776 of the family's 1533-position model. The record is from RNAcentral.
UACGGGGGGGCAAGCGUUGUUCGGAAUUACUGGGCGUAAAGGGCUCGUAGGCGGCCAACUAAGUCAUACGUGAAAUCCCUCGGCUUAACCGGGGAACUGCGUCUGAUACUGGAUGGCUUGAGUUCGGGAGAGGGAUGCGGAAUUCCAGGUGUAGCGGUGAAAUGCGUAGAGAUCCGGAGGAACACCAGUGGCGAAGGCGACACGCUGGGCCGUACCUGACACUGAGGCGCGAUAGCAUGGGGAGCAAACAGG